RNAcentral lists this ribosomal RNA (262 nucleotides) under uncultured bacterium. Its description in RNAcentral is "partial 16S ribosomal RNA". It matches the Rfam family "Bacterial small subunit ribosomal RNA", at positions 793 to 1055 of the family's 1533-position model. The record is from RNAcentral.
GUCCACGCAGUAAACGAUGAAUACUAGCUGUUGGCGAUAUAAUGUCAGCGGUACAGCGAAAGUGUUAAGUAUUCCACCUGGGGAGUACGCCGGCAAACGGUGAAAACUCAAAAGGAAUUGACGGGGGGCCCGCACAAGCGGAGGAACAUGUGGUUUAAUUCGAUGAUACGCGAGGAACCUUACCCGGGCUUGAAAGUUAGUGAAUGACUUGGAAAACAGGUCAGUCCUUGGGACACGAAACUAAGUGCUGCAUGGUUGUCGU